RNAcentral lists this ribosomal RNA (393 nucleotides) under uncultured bacterium. Its description in RNAcentral is "partial 16S ribosomal RNA". It matches the Rfam family "Bacterial small subunit ribosomal RNA", at positions 523 to 918 of the family's 1533-position model. The record is from RNAcentral.
AUACGGAGGAUCCGAGCGUUAUCCGGAUUUAUUGGGUUUAAAGGGAGCGUAGGCGGACGCUUAAGUCAGUUGUGAAAGUUUGCGGCUCAACCGUAAAAUUGCAGUUGAUACUGGGUGUCUUGAGUACAGUAGAGGCAGGGGGAACUCGUGGUGGAGCGGGGGAAUGCUUAGAUAUCACGAAGAACUCCGAUUGCGAAGGCAGCCUGCUGGACUGUAACUGACGCUGAUGCUCGAAAGUGUGGGUAUCAAACAGGAUUAGAUACCCUGGUAGUCCACACAGUAAACGAUGAAUACUCGCUGUUUGCGAUAUACAGUAAGCGGCCAAGCGAAAGCGUUAAGUAUUCCACCUGGGGAGUACGCCGGCAACGGUGAAACUCAAAUGAAUUGACGGGG